GACGUACAUGAGAUGUGGCCCUCAGCUACACACAAAAAGAAAUCCUCUAUCCCGGUGGAGGCUCAGCGAUGCUGAUUGCUAACCCAUGGGGGCAGAGGGAGAUGGAGGGGGGAAAUCUUCCAAAGCAGGGCUGCCAGGUGAGAAAACCACGGGGACAUCUGUGUCCUUGGGCAGCACGGGCACAAGCAGGAGGACCUGGCCUCAGGACUCGAACAGCAAGCAGAACAGCCACUGGAUAACGUGUGGAAAAUGGUGAUGGGGCCUCACUAAACUUAACAUCCUCCCCUCAAAAUCAUCAUCAUCGGGAUUGUUGAGUUUGGUCCUGAUCACAACGUGAUGCAUCGAGUUGGACACCUUGGGGGCAACGAGGCAGGGGUUAAAUGCUGAUUGGGAAAGCUCUACACUCACUAGAGGGAGAAUUCUGGUUACAGCAAGUUGGUGUCAGUUAAAAGGGGAGCUGCUUUGAACUGCGGGCUCUUCUGGAGUUGUUUUUCUUCUUGCAGGAAAUCCUGGGUGUCUGAAAAAUGAAAUCCUUUCACUUGAGGAGGUCACGGGGUGCUGGCCAGCAGCCAGGCACAGGGCUCCUGCGCGGCUCUGCCCGUUCCUCUCCACGAGCCCAUCGCUUCCUCCACGACGCUCCUCUUGCACGUAUUUCUGCACGCUGCGAGGAGAGGCUUAGAUUUGCUCUUCUGCUUGUGAUUUAGCUCACCCUGUGCUUGGAGGAGGCCGGUAACGUCUUAAGACCUAUCGCAGUCCCCGAACAUAAAACCCCGCGUUGCUGGGGAGAGGUUGACUCGACUGAGCCGCAUGAUCGGAGUCAGGUGACGAUAUUGGGCACAAAACCGGAGGAGAACAAACAGUUGGGCGCAGGAGAUUAGCUGCUGGUCCUGCCUUUUGACAAGCUGUGUCACUCCUCGGGGGAAAAUGAGUGCCUGGCCCUCUCCUCUGCUUUGGAGCUUCACCAUGGUGUGUUUAACAGGUAUUGCUUUAGGCCAGACAACCACUACCUGGCCCCCUGUUGCAUCAACACCAGUGCCUCCUAGUGCAGCCACCACCCAGGUCCCUGUUGCAUCAACCCCAGCACCUCCCAGUACAAUCACCACCCAGGUCCCCAUUGCAUCAACCCCAGUGCCUCCCAGUGCAGCCAGUACCGCGGCCUCUGCACCUCAAACUGCCUCUACAAUGCUCUUGGCUGGAGUGACAUCAACCACUGCAAACCUUGUUGUGUCCACGGCAGUGCCUUCUGCUGAUCCAAGCACAAAAGAGCCAACUCAAACUCUGACCACCACCACGGAUGUGACCGUCCUCACCUCUGGCAGCAUGGCCACCUCUCAAGUGUCUACAGGACUAAUGACCAUGUCUACCAGCACCCCAGCAUCCCCUCCAGGUGUGACCACAACUCCUGGGGUCCCAUCAGCAGUUCUGUUCCUCACCACCAUAAGGCCCUCAAACUGCAGCAGAGUGAACGUGACAUCCUGUGCCCGCUGCUCCCCAGGGACAUUUCCCAAUGAAGGCACCUUGAGCUGCUCAUGCUGUGCUGGGGGCUCGUGCACAGACCCUGUUGCCUGCACCUCCUGCCCGCUGGGCCACUACCAGCCUGAAGGCGGGCAACUGUCAUGCCUGCCUUGUCCACAGGGGCAUUACGCCAACUUCACAAGGAGCACCGCAUGCCUUCCCUGCCCACCCGGUAAUUACGCUAAUGAGUCUGGGGCUGCAGCCUGCAGAGCAUGUGAGAAAGGGUAUUUUAGCUCCAAGCAAAAUGCAUCUUUUUGUCUGCCUUGCCCGUCUGGAUCAUUUUGCAACACCACCAGCUGCAGGGGGUGUCUGCUGUGCCCCAGUGGGCAAGAGGCUCUUCGGGAGGCGUCGGAGGAGUGCACGCCCUGCCGGCCAGGUACCUUCUGCAGCGGAGGGUGA
RNAcentral lists this long non-coding RNA (1914 nucleotides) under Calidris pygmaea (Spoon-billed sandpiper). RNAcentral describes it as "lncRNA (ENSCPGG00000009305.1)". Lineage: Eukaryota; Metazoa; Chordata; Aves; Charadriiformes; Scolopacidae. The record is from RNAcentral.